AUUCAAAUAGCUUAUAUUUAGAGCAUGACACUGAAGAUGUUAGAGAGAUAGUACUUAUCUUUGAAUA
This 67-nucleotide transfer RNA is filed under the name Platypeza sp. XL-2018. RNAcentral's name for it is "tRNA-Phe". Lineage: Eukaryota; Metazoa; Arthropoda; Insecta; Diptera; Platypezidae. The record is from RNAcentral.